Podarcis lilfordi (Lilford's wall lizard) is the source of this 76-nucleotide non-coding RNA. The record is from the annotation of a GenBank genome assembly. Lineage: Eukaryota; Metazoa; Chordata; Lepidosauria; Squamata; Lacertidae.
ACACAUUUCCAAACUCUGCCGGCAUAGCAUGAGACUCUUAAUCUCAGGGUGGUGGGUUCAAGUCCCACAUUGGGCA